Molecule: ribosomal RNA, 228 nt
Filed under: Streptococcus agalactiae CCUG 44077
Lineage: Bacteria; Bacillati; Bacillota; Bacilli; Lactobacillales; Streptococcaceae
Description: partial 16S ribosomal RNA
Rfam family: Bacterial small subunit ribosomal RNA
Source: RNAcentral
UUUAAUGAGAGUUUGAUCCUGGCUCAGGACGAACGCUGGCGGCGUGCCUAAUACAUGCAAGUAGAACGCUGAGGUUUGGUGUUUACACUAGACUGAUGAGUUGCGAACGGGUGAGUAACGCGUAGGUAACCUGCCUCAUAGCGGGGGAUAACUAUUGGAAACGAUAGCUAAUACCGCAUAAGAGUAAUUAACACAUGUUAGUUAUUUAAAAGGAGCAAUUGCUUCACU